Molecule: ribosomal RNA, 442 nt
Filed under: uncultured bacterium
Lineage: Bacteria
Description: partial 16S ribosomal RNA
Rfam family: Bacterial small subunit ribosomal RNA
Source: RNAcentral
CCUACGGGUGGCAGCAGUGGGGAAUAUUGGGCAAUGGGCGCAAGCCUGACCCAGCAAUGCCGCGUGAAGGAAGAAGGCUUUCGGGUUGUAAACUUCUUUGACAGGGGAAGAGCAGAAGACGGUACCCUGAAAACAAGCCACGGAUAACUACGUGCCAGCAGCCGCGGUAAUACGUAGGGGGCAAGCGUUGUCCGGAUUUACUGGGUGUAAAGGGCGUGUAGCCGGGAAGGCAAGUCAGAUGUGAAAUCUGGAGGCUCAACCUCCAAAUUGCAUUUGAAACUGUUUUUCUUGAGUACUGGAGAGGCAGAUGGAAUUCCUUGUGUAGCGGUGAAAUGCGUAGAGAUAAGGAGGAACACCAGUGGCGAAGGCGAUCUGCUGGACAGCAACUGACGGUGAGGCGCGAAAGCGUGGGGAGCAAACAGGAUUAGAUACCCGAGUAGUC